GAGGGUAUAGCUCAGUGGUAGAGCACAUGCUUAGAAUGCACAGGGUCCUGGGUUCAAUACCCAGUACCUCCA
Molecule: transfer RNA, 72 nt
Filed under: Camelus bactrianus (Bactrian camel)
Lineage: Eukaryota; Metazoa; Chordata; Mammalia; Artiodactyla; Camelidae
Also listed under: 3 other names
Rfam family: tRNA
About the family: Transfer RNA (tRNA) molecules are approximately 80 nucleotides in length. Their secondary structure includes four short double-helical elements and three loops (D, anti-codon, and T loops).
Source: Rfam by way of RNAcentral